Molecule: ribosomal RNA, 213 nt
Filed under: uncultured eukaryote
Lineage: Eukaryota
Description: partial 16S ribosomal RNA
Rfam family: Eukaryotic small subunit ribosomal RNA
Source: RNAcentral
UCUGUGAUGCCCUUAGAUGUUCUGGGCUGCACGCGUAUUACAAUGAUAUACUCAACGGGUUAUUAACCUAACCCGAUGGGGUUUGGGGAAUCUUUAAAAAUUAUAUCAUGAUAGGGAUAGAUCAUUGCAAUUAUUGGUCUUUAACGAGGAAUUCCUAGUAAGUGUUAGUCAUCAACUCGCGUUGAUUACGUCCCUGCCCUUUGUACACACCGC